RNAcentral lists this ribosomal RNA (550 nucleotides) under uncultured Glomerales. RNAcentral describes it as "SSU rRNA". It matches the Rfam family "Eukaryotic small subunit ribosomal RNA", at positions 548 to 1099 of the family's 1831-position model. The record is from RNAcentral. Lineage: Eukaryota; Fungi; Glomeromycota; Glomeromycetes; Glomerales; Glomeraceae.
UUGGAGGGCAAGUCUGGUGCCAGCAGCCGCGGUAAUUCCAGCUCCAAUAGCGUAUAUUAAAGUUGUUGCAGUUAAAAAGCUCGUAGUUGAAUUUCGGGGUCAGUAGGUUGGUCAUGCCACUGGUAUGUACUGGCCUCACUGAUUCCUCCUUCCUGAUGAGCCGUAAUGCCAUUAAUUUGGUGUUGCGAGGAAUCUGGACUGUUACUUUGAAAAAAUUAGAGUGUUUAAAGCGGGCUAACGCUUGAAUACAUUAGCAUGGAAUAAUGAAAUAGGACGUUCGAUCUUAUUUUGUUGGUUUCUAAGAUUGACGUAAUGAUUAAUAGGGAUAGUUGGGGGCAUUAGUAUUCAAUUGUCAGAGGUGAAAUUCUUGGAUUUCUUGAAGACUAACUACUGCGAAAGCAUUUGCCAAGGAUGUUUUCAUUAAUCAAGAACGAAAGUUAGGGGAUCGAAGACGAUCAGAUACCGUCGUAGUCUUAACCAUAAACUAUGCCGACUAGGGAUCGGAUGAUGUUAAUUUUUUAAUGACUCAUUCGGCGCCUUACGGGAAACA